GACGAACGCUGGCGGCGUGCUUAACACAUGCAAGUCGAGCGGUAAGGCCCUUUCGGGGGUACACGAGCGGCGAACGGGUGAGUAACACGUGGGUGACCUGCCCUCAGCUCUGGGAUAAGCCUGGGAAACCGGGUCUAAUACCGGAUAUGACUCCAUGACGCAUGUUGUGGGGUGGAAAGCCUUGUGCGGCUGAGGAUGGGCCCGCGGCCUAUCAGCUUGUUGGUGGGGGAUGGCCUACCAAGGCGACGACGGGUAGCCGGCCUGAGAGGGCGACCGGCCACACUGGGACUGAGACACGGCCCAGACUCCUACGGGAGGCAGCAGUGGGGAAUCUUGCGCAAUGGGCGAAAGCCUGACGCAGCGACGCCGC
RNAcentral lists this ribosomal RNA (370 nucleotides) under uncultured bacterium. RNAcentral describes it as "bacterial SSU rRNA". It matches the Rfam family "Bacterial small subunit ribosomal RNA", at positions 28 to 400 of the family's 1533-position model. The record is from RNAcentral.